Molecule: ribosomal RNA, 118 nt
Organism: Cercocebus atys (sooty mangabey)
Lineage: Eukaryota; Metazoa; Chordata; Mammalia; Primates; Cercopithecidae
Source: Ensembl
GCCAGUAUCUAGGCACCCUGAACGCGCCUGAUCUGAUCUGAUCUCGGAAGCUCAGCAGGUUCGGGCCUGGUUAGUACUUGGAUGGGAGAUCACCUGGGAAUACCGGGUGCUGCAGGCC